This 258-nucleotide ribosomal RNA is filed under the name uncultured bacterium. RNAcentral describes it as "partial 16S ribosomal RNA". It matches the Rfam family "Bacterial small subunit ribosomal RNA", at positions 72 to 334 of the family's 1533-position model. The record is from RNAcentral.
CUUGCUUUCUUUUGCUGGCGACCGGCGCACGGGUGAGUAACACGUAUCCAACCUGCCCUUUACUCGGGGAUAGCCUUUCGAAAGAAAGAUUAAUACCCGAUAGCAUAAUGAUUCCGCAUGGUUUCAUUAUUAAAGGAUUCCGUAAAGGAUGGGGAUGCGUUCCAUUAGGUUGUUGGUGGGGUAACGGCCCACCAAGCCUUCGAUGGAUAGGGGUUCUGAGAGGAAGGUCCCCCACAUUGGAACUGAGACACGGUCCAA